AGAGUUUGAUCCUGGCUCAGGAUGAACGCUGGCGGCGUGCCUAAUACAUGCAAGUCGAGCGAACUGAUUAGAAGCUUGCUUCUAUGACGUUAGCGGCGGACGGGUGAGUAACACGUGGGCAACCUGCCUGUAAGACUGGGAUAACUUCGGGAAACCGAAGCUAAUACCGGAUAGGAUCUUCUCCUUCAUGGGAGAUGAUUGAAAGAUGGUUUCGGCUAUCACUUACAGAUGGGCCCGCGGUGCAUUAGCUAGUUGGUGAGGUAACGGCUCACCAAGGCAACGAUGCAUAGCCGACCUGAGAGGGUGAUCGGCCACACUGGAACUGAGACACGGCCCAGACUCCUACGGGAGGCAGCAGUAGGGAAUCUUCCGCAAUGGACGAAAGUCUGACGGAGCAACGCCGCGUGAGUGAUGAAGGCUUUCGGGUCGUAAAACUCUGUUGUUAGGGAAGAACAAGUACGAGAGUAACUGCUCGUACCUUGACGGUACCUAACCAGAAAGCCACGGCUAACUACGUGCCAGCAGCCGCGGUAAUACGUAGGUGGCAAGCGUUAUCCGGAAUUAUUGGGCGUAAAGCGCGCGCAGGCGGUUUCUUAAGUCUGAUGUGAAAGCCCACGGCUCAACCGUGGA
Molecule: ribosomal RNA, 630 nt
Filed under: uncultured marine bacterium
Lineage: Bacteria
Description: bacterial SSU rRNA
Rfam family: Bacterial small subunit ribosomal RNA
Source: RNAcentral